GACGAACGCUGGCGGCGCGCUUAAUACAUGCAAGUCGAACGAGAAGCCAGAGCUUGCUCUGGUGGAAAGUGGCGAACGGGUGAGUAACACGUGAGAAACCUGCCCCAAAGAUUGGGAUAAGCCUUGGAAACGAGGUCUAAUACCAAAUACCUUCCUUUUAACACAUGUUAAAAAGAAGAAAUGCUCCGGCGCUUUGGGAUGGUCUCGCGAUCUAUCAGCUUGUUGGUGAGGUAACGGCUCACCAAGGCAUCGACGGAUAGCUGGUCUGAGAGGAUGUCCAGCCACAUUGGAACUGAGACACGGUCCAAACUCCUACGGGAGGCAGCAGUAGGGAAUCUUGCACAAUGAGGGAAACCUUGAUGCAGCGACGCCGCGUGCGGGACGAAGGCCCUAGGGUUGUAAACCGCUUUCAGUAGGGACGAAAGUGACGGUACCUACAGAAGAAGCCCCGGCCAACUAUGUGCCAGCAGCCGCGGU
Molecule: ribosomal RNA, 477 nt
Filed under: uncultured bacterium
Lineage: Bacteria
Description: bacterial SSU rRNA
Rfam family: Bacterial small subunit ribosomal RNA
Source: RNAcentral